GAUGAAGAACGCAGCAAAAUGCGAUAAGUAAUGCGAAUUGCAGAAUCCGUGAGUCAUCGAAUCUUUGAACGCACAUUGCGCCCUCUGGUAUUCCGGAGGGCAUGCCUGUUCGAGCGUCAUUAUCACCCCUCAAGCCCGGCUUGUUGUUGGAUGCAGCGCUUAUCCCGCUCCUCCCAAAGAUAAUGACGGCGUCUGCGACGACUCCUGUACACUGAGCUUUCGGGCACGUACACGGCUAGAAGUCCAGACCCGGUCGCCGUCCCCCCCGCGGGGACACCCAUUACCACAAGGUUGACCUCGGAUCAGGUAGGAAUACCCGCUGAACUUAAGCAUAUCAAUAAGCGGAGGA
This 349-nucleotide unclassified non-coding RNA is filed under the name soil metagenome. RNAcentral's name for it is "partial contains 5.8S ribosomal RNA, internal transcribed spacer 2, and large subunit ribosomal RNA". The stretch from base 1 to 119 matches the Rfam family "5.8S ribosomal RNA", at positions 35 to 154 of the family's 154-position model. The record is from RNAcentral.